Vicia villosa (hairy vetch) is the source of this 2610-nucleotide long non-coding RNA. RefSeq lists it as uncharacterized. The record is from RefSeq and is a predicted model, not a curated record. The transcript is spliced from 8 exons. Lineage: Eukaryota; Viridiplantae; Streptophyta; Magnoliopsida; Fabales; Fabaceae.
UCACGUUCUCUAUCUUCCUCUACCUCUCUCUUCCUCUUCCUCUUUCUUUUGUCUCUCCUUCUCUGAUAUUGUUCUUCUUCUGAUUUCUGUGCAGAUGAAUAUGAUGUUGAUGGUGACGAUGAACAUGUUGCUGAUGAUAUCGUGAUGUUGAUUUUGAAUCAUUGAUGGUUGUUGCUAAGGGUUACGAUCGUGAAAUUGAUGAUGAUGUUGGUGACGCUAAAAGUCACACCAAAUCGGUGAGAUCUUUCUUUGUUUUUUCGUAUUUUGAGUUCUAUAAUCUCUCUGCUUCUCUCAAUAUUUUCUGAAGGGUUUGUGUAAAAAAUGAGGAAGAUGAUGAUAAAAUAGGGUUUCAUGAACGUUAGUGUUGUAUCCCAUUUACUGAAUAUGAACUGCGUUCUUUUUCUUUCUUCUCAUUGUUUUUCGAAAAAUUGUAUACUUUAGGAUGAUGAUGAUGAUGAUGAUGAUGAUGAUGAAAUUUUAGGGUUUUGGUUAUGUAUUCUGCUGCAGUGAAAAAAUGUGAAUCAGGUGUUAACUUAUUCUUUUUCUCUUUACUGUGAACCAAAGUUUAUUUGUUAUUUGUAGUAAAGAUUAGGCCCAUGAUUGUUCGAUGAAACUGUAUGAGGAUUGAGGCCUUUAACUCGCUAACAUGAUUUGAAUCAUUCCCCUUAAAAAUUCUGAUUCCUUCACAUAAACCCUAAUGAUGAAUUAUGAAUCUUCUUUACCUUCUAUGGUAUGAUGGUUGUGGCAGUGACACCAAAUCACCAUGUUGCUUAUAUCGUGGCUGCUGCAUUUUAUGCAGUUUGGAACCUCUUUUCAGGAUUCGUCGUCGCGAGCCCUUUAAGUACUAACAUUCACUAAGAAUGUUUAAAUGAAUUUAUAUUAUUAGAUGUACGCUAACUAUUGUAUUUUUCAUUGAUUGAUAGUUUCUUUUCCAAAUUAUCAUGUCGAAUUUCUUUCUUUAUUCUCAGUCAAAUGUCAUCUCUAAUUUGUUGGUUAAUUCAAAAUAUAGAUUGUUCGAUUUGGUUUUCACUAAGUUGUUUUGUUUCAGACAUAUAUGGUGCCAUGGCUGUUGCAGGGAAUUUUAUAUGUUCAAUUACCGGAAUUGACUCUCUUGGACGUUUUCAUCUUUCAAUAGAUGAUGUUCUUGAAGGACUUGGAUAUGCAGUUCCUCCAAUUAUGGCUCUUCUUUUUAUACUUGAUGGACUGAACUGAGUCAUAUAGCUGCUGUACCGAAUGAUGCAGGGAAGAAACCAAGUCGUACACCUGAUAUACUGAAUACUGCAAGUGUUGAAUCAGGUGUUGGCUGAAUUGAGUUAAGUAACAUUUCAAAAUGAUGAGGUUGUGAUUUUGUAAAUGAUGAGAAGGAGAUUCAUCCAAGCUGCUGAAUCUUCUUACAAGGUUGCUUAUCCAGAACUAGAAUUCAUGGAAAAUUAUUUAGCAGAGCUUGCACUUAUUAAAUACAGCUUCCUGCAGUUUUGACCUUCCAAGAUAGCUGCUUCUACAAUUUUUCUUGCUAGAUUGACCCUCGGCCAGUCAGAACAUCCAUGGGUCUGAACUUUAUUUUUAACACUUAACUUUCAUUUUUUACAAUUAGGCGAUUAGUUUCAACUUAAAGUUAAUCUAAUUAGAUUCACAUGCUCAUCGAUUUGCAGAAUUUUGUGUUCAUACCGAGUUGAUUUAUGCCUUUAUUAUCCAUGCAAUAUGUUAACAUGUUUGUUAACAAUAAUAAUGAUUCUACUCUAUAGCUGGAAAUGAAAUCCCUUGACGAUGCAGCGAGAUUGUUGCUUGGAAAUUUGCAGGUACAAAACUUCGACAUGUUGUAUCCACUUUAGCACUUGAAGUCUGGCAGCACCAGGGUCCAUCUGCCAGUACACAAGUAAAUCCGCGCGACGGCCUUUUUUGGUUCAAUAAACCAGAUAUACUGCUAUGGUUGAUACAAUUUCUGAUAUUUCAGGAGUGAAGCUAUCGUAUGGCACGAUUGGGUUUAGGGAAGAUGCAUCGAUUUUGUCAUCGACGGUUGUGAUAUUUUUUGCCAAAUUAACCUUUGUAUGAUGUUAUGAAAUCAGAAUAGUCGGUCGGAUGUAUGGCUGUAUUGAAUUGUUGCUAGGUGACUGGUUUAUGGUUUUGAUCUACAGGUUGGUUUAAAUGCAUGAUGUUAACUGGCCUUGGACAAUUAGGGGUUCCAUUUGUUAAAUGCUGCAAGCUUCAAUAUUUUUAGCAACCUAAAGUGGAAUGUAUGGAUCUGAAUUGGUAGAACCGACAUAUAAUGAACAUGAUUUUGCAGGUUGUUAUAUGUACAACAAGCUAUUUUGGUGGCUCUGGUUUGAUGGCCCCCUGACAUUUUAAGAUGAGCGUUUGGUGCGGAGCUGGCGCGAGCUGAUUAUGCUAUUCUGAACUGCAUGACCCGAAUGUAGGUUCUGAAGUGAUUUCCUCUUGGAUUGAACAUCAUCUAUAGGGUCUGUCCGAUAAAGUAGUAAAUGCAUUUAGGAUGAUGGCAGCUGAGGGUCUUACUCCCAGUCUUUUAGCUCUCAAUUUCUUAAUCAAUGCUUUUGGUGAAGAUAGAAGAGAUGUUGAAGCAUUUGAUGUACUGCAAUACAUGCAAGACAGUGU